GAUGAACGCUGGCGGCGUGCCUAAUACAUGCAAGUCGAGCGAACGGACGAGAAGCUUGCUUCUCUGAUGUUAGCGGCGGACGGGUGAGUAACGCGUGGAUAACCUACCUAUAAGACUGGGAUAACUUCGGGAAACCGGAGCUAAUACCGGAUCAUAUUUUGAGCCGCAUGGUUCAAAAGUGAAAGACGGUCUUGCUGUCACUUAUAGAUGGAUCCGCGCUGCAUUAGCUAGUUGGUAAGGUAACGGCUUACCAAGGCAACGAUGCAUAGCCGACCUGAGAGGGUGAUCGGCCACACUGGAACUGAGACACGGUCCAGACUCCUACGGGAGGCAGCAGUAGGGAAUCUUCCGCAAUGGGCGAAAGCCUGACGGAGCAACGCCGCGUGAGUGAUGAAGGUCUUCGGAUCGUAAAACUCUGUUAUUAGGGAAGAACAUAUGUGUAAGUAACUGUGCACAUCUUGACGGUACCUAAUCAGAAAGCCACGGCUAACUACGUG
This 497-nucleotide ribosomal RNA is filed under the name uncultured bacterium. RNAcentral's name for it is "partial 16S ribosomal RNA". It matches the Rfam family "Bacterial small subunit ribosomal RNA", at positions 28 to 507 of the family's 1533-position model. The record is from RNAcentral.